This is a long non-coding RNA of Acanthochromis polyacanthus (spiny chromis), 507 nucleotides long. RefSeq lists it as uncharacterized. The record is from RefSeq and is a predicted model, not a curated record. NCBI's taxonomy places the organism in Eukaryota, Metazoa, Chordata, Actinopteri, Pomacentridae. The transcript is spliced from 2 exons.
CUGAUGUGGAGGCCAAGUGGUCUGGGUCUGUUCAUGACUCCAGGAUUUAUGGAGAGUCUAACCUGAGCAACAGACUGCAGCGUGGAGAGUUUGAUGGCCUUCUGCUGGGUGACAGGGGUUACCAUGCCAACCCAGGCUGAUGACCUCAUACCCUGACCCUGAACCAGACCCCCAACAGAACUUCAACCGGGCUCACUGCAGGACCAGAGCCCGGGUGGAGAUGACCAUAGGCCUGCUGAAAGCCCGUUUCCAGAGCCUACGUCUCCUCAGGGUGACCCCUGAGAGGGCCUGUGAUAUUACUGUGGCAUGUGUUGUUCUUCAUAAUAUUACCACUAUUAGAGGAGAGCAACACCCUGCCCUACAAACUGAAGACCCAGAUGAUGACCUCAUCCACCUGCAGCUAUCCAGGACAGCAGAGCAGUCAGAGACACCGUAUGCAAUAAUCACUUUAGAGUUUAAGUCACCAUCAUCACCACCACAGCAAAUAAAGACAUGAUACACAUUUCA